RNAcentral lists this ribosomal RNA (495 nucleotides) under uncultured bacterium. RNAcentral describes it as "partial 16S ribosomal RNA". It matches the Rfam family "Bacterial small subunit ribosomal RNA", at positions 28 to 507 of the family's 1533-position model. The record is from RNAcentral.
GACGAACGCUGGCGGCGUGCCUAAUACAUGCAAGUAGAACGCUGAAGGAGGAGCUUGCUUCUCUGGAUGAGUUGCGAACGGGUGAGUAACGCGUAGGUAACCUGCCUGGUAGCGGGGGAUAACUAUUGGAAACGAUAGCUAAUACCGCAUAAGAGUAGAUGUCGCAUGACAUUUGCUUAAAAGGUGCAAUUGCAUCACUACCAGAUGGACCUGCGUUGUAUUAGCUAGUUGGUGAGGUAACGGCUCACCAAGGCAACGAUACAUAGCCGACCUGAGAGGGUGAUCAGCCACACUGGGACUGAGACACGGCCCAGACUGCUACGGGAGGCAGCAGUAGGGAAUCUUCGGCAAUGGACGGAAGUCUGACCAAGCAACGCCGCGUGAGUGAAGAAGGUUUUCGGAUCGUAAAGCUCUGUUGUAAGAGAAGAACGAGUGUGAGAGUGGAAAGUUCACACUGUGACGGUAUCUUACCAGAAAGGGACGGCUAACUACGUG